This 28-nucleotide small RNA is filed under the name Bombyx mori (domestic silkworm). Its description in RNAcentral is "ovarian small RNA-21117". Lineage: Eukaryota; Metazoa; Arthropoda; Insecta; Lepidoptera; Bombycidae. The record is from RNAcentral.
UACGCUGCUAAACUGUGUCCCUACAUAA